This 378-nucleotide ribosomal RNA is filed under the name uncultured eukaryote. RNAcentral describes it as "SSU rRNA". It matches the Rfam family "Eukaryotic small subunit ribosomal RNA", at positions 587 to 972 of the family's 1831-position model. The record is from RNAcentral.
AGCUCCAAUAGCGUAUAUUAAAGUUGUUGCAGUUAAAAAGCUCGUAGUUGGAUUUCUGGGCUCGGUCAGCGGUCCGCCGAAAGGUGUGCACUGCAGGCCUGGUCCUUUCCUCCCGACGUUCACGUGUGCUCUUAACUGAGUGUGCGUGGGACUCGGGACCUUUACUUUGAAAAAAUUAGAGUGUUCAAAGCAGGCCAUCGCUUGAAUACAUUAGCAUGGAAUAAUGGAAUAGGACUUUGGUUCUAUUUCGUUGGUUCUAGGACCGAAGUAAUGAUUAAUAGGGAUAGUUGGGGGCAUUAGUAUUUAAUUGUCAGAGGUGAAAUUCUUAGAUUUAUGAAAGACUAACUACUGCGAAAGCAUUUGCCAAGGAUGUUUUCA